RNAcentral lists this unclassified non-coding RNA (389 nucleotides) under uncultured Phycisphaerae bacterium. RNAcentral's name for it is "contains 16S-23S intergenic spacer region". The record is from RNAcentral. Lineage: Bacteria; Pseudomonadati; Planctomycetota; Phycisphaerae.
UCCGGCUUAACGCCGGCAGUCUCGCUAGAGUUCCCAGCAUUACCUGAUGGCAACUAACGACAGGGGUUUCGCUCGUUAAGGGACUUAACCCGACACUUCACAGCACGAGCUGACGACAGCCAUGCAACACCUGUGCAAGUUUCACCCCGAAGGGUAGCCCGACCGAGUUAUCCCCGGAGGGCAUCCAAGCAUGUCAAACCUGGGUAAGGUUCUUCGCGUUGCUUCGAAUUAAGCCACAUGCUCCACCGCUUGUGUGAGCCCCCGUCAAUUCCUUUGAGUUUUAGCCUUGCGGCCGUACUCCCCAGGCGGCACACUUAGCACUUUUGCUUCGACCCAGAAGGCAUCAGAGCCACCUGAAUCUAGUGUGCAUCGUUUACGGCGUGGACUAC